UGGGUUCAGAACGUCGCGAGACAGUUUGGUCCCUAUCUGCCGUGGGUGUUCGAGAAUUGAGAGGAGCUGCUCCUAGUACGAGAGGACCGGAGUGGACAUGUCACUAGUGUAUCGGUUGUGACGCCAGUCGCAUCGCCGAGUAGCCAUAACAUGGAAGAGAUAACCGCUGAAAGCAUCUAAGCGGGAAACUCACCUCAAAAUUAGUUCUCGCCAUCAGGGACGUGGAAGACCACCACGUUGAUAGGCUGGGUGUGGAAGCGCAGUAAUGCGUGAAGCUAACCAGUACUAAUAUCCCGAUUGGCUUGAUACU
RNAcentral lists this ribosomal RNA (310 nucleotides) under Holosporaceae bacterium. RNAcentral's name for it is "partial 23S ribosomal RNA". It matches the Rfam family "Bacterial large subunit ribosomal RNA", at positions 2606 to 2925 of the family's 2925-position model. The record is from RNAcentral. Lineage: Bacteria; Pseudomonadati; Pseudomonadota; Alphaproteobacteria; Holosporales; Holosporaceae.